RNAcentral lists this transfer RNA (65 nucleotides) under Hemifusus tuba. RNAcentral's name for it is "tRNA-Phe". It matches the Rfam family "tRNA". From Rfam's summary of the family: Transfer RNA (tRNA) molecules are approximately 80 nucleotides in length. Their secondary structure includes four short double-helical elements and three loops (D, anti-codon, and T loops). Further hydrogen bonds mediate the characteristic L-shaped molecular structure. tRNAs have two regions of fundamental functional importance: the anti-codon, which is responsible for specific mRNA codon recognition, and the 3' end, to which the tRNAs corresponding amino acid is attached (by aminoacyl-tRNA synthetases). tRNAs cope with the degeneracy of the genetic code in two manners: having more than one tRNA (with a specific anti-codon) for a particular amino acid; and 'wobble' base-pairing, i.e. permitting non-standard base-pairing at the 3rd anti-codon position. Lineage: Eukaryota; Metazoa; Mollusca; Gastropoda; Neogastropoda; Melongenidae. The record is from RNAcentral.
GCAUUGAUAGCUCAAAGCAGAGCAUAGCACUGAAGAUGCUAAGGUGGCAAUAAAGUCUCAAAGCA